UACGUAGGGUGCAAGCGUUAAUCGGAAUUACUGGGCGUAAAGCGUGCGCAGGCGGUUGUGCAAGACCGAUGUGAAAUCCCCGGGCUUAACCUGGGAAUGGCAUUGGUGACUGCACGGCUAGAGUGUGUCAGAGGGGGGUAGAAUUCCACGUGUAGCAGUGAAAUGCGUAGAGAUGCGGAGGAACACCGAUGGCGAAGGCAAUCCCCUGGGCCUGCACUGACGCUCAUGCACGAAAGCGUGGGGAGCAAACAGG
This 253-nucleotide ribosomal RNA is filed under the name uncultured bacterium. RNAcentral describes it as "partial 16S ribosomal RNA". It matches the Rfam family "Bacterial small subunit ribosomal RNA", at positions 524 to 776 of the family's 1533-position model. The record is from RNAcentral.